GACGAACGCUGACGGUGUGCUUUAGACAUGCAAGUCGAACGAGAAAGCCCUUCGGGGUUAGUAAAGUGGCGAACGGGUGAGUAACACGUGGGCAAUCUGCCCCUCGCAGGGGGACAACCGGAGGAAACCCCGGCUAAUACCCCGUAAGUUCAAAGGGAGGCAUCUCCCCUUGAAGAAAGGUAGCUUCGGCCAUCCGGCGAGGGAUGAGCCCGCGGUGCAUUAGCUAGUUGGGUGGGGUAACGGCCCACCAAGGCGACGAUGCAUAGCUGGUCUGAGAGGAUGAUCAGCCACACUGGGACUGAGACACGGCCCAGACUCCUACGGGAGGCAGCAGUCGGGAAUCUUGCGCAAUGGGCGAAAGCCUGACGCAGCAACACCGUGUGUGUGAGGAA
This 392-nucleotide ribosomal RNA is filed under the name uncultured bacterium. Its description in RNAcentral is "bacterial SSU rRNA". It matches the Rfam family "Bacterial small subunit ribosomal RNA", at positions 28 to 412 of the family's 1533-position model. The record is from RNAcentral.